UACAGAGGGGGCAAGCGUUGUUCGGAAUUAUUGGGCGUAAAGAGCGCGUAGGCGGCUUGUUUAGUCUGGUGUGAAAGCCCUCGGCUUAACCGGGGAAGUGCAUUGGAUACUGGCAGGCUUGAGUGCGAGAGAGGGAAGUGGAAUUCCAGGUGUAGCGGUGAAAUGCGUAGAUAUCUGGAGGAACACCGGUGGCGAAGGCGGCUUCCUGGAUCGUAACUGACGCUGAGGCGCGAAAGCGUGGGUAGCAAACAGG
This 253-nucleotide unclassified non-coding RNA is filed under the name uncultured delta proteobacterium. RNAcentral's name for it is "contains 16S-23S intergenic spacer region". It matches the Rfam family "Bacterial small subunit ribosomal RNA", at positions 524 to 776 of the family's 1533-position model. Lineage: Bacteria; Deltaproteobacteria. The record is from RNAcentral.